AUACGGAGGGGGUUAGCGUUGUUCGGAAUUACAGGGCGUAAAGCGUACGUAGGCGGACUGGAAAGUUGGGGGUGAAAUCCCGGGGCUCAACCCCGGAACUGCCUCCAAAACUUCCAAUCUAGAGAUCGAGAGGGGUGAGUGGAAUUCCAAGUGUAGAGGUGAAAUUCGUAGAUAUUUUGAGGAACACCAGUGGCGAAGGCGGCUCACUGGCUCGAUACUGACGCUGAGGUACGAAAGCGUGGGGAGCAAACAGGAUUAGAAACCCUAGUAGUCC
Molecule: ribosomal RNA, 274 nt
Filed under: uncultured bacterium
Lineage: Bacteria
Description: partial 16S ribosomal RNA
Rfam family: Bacterial small subunit ribosomal RNA
Source: RNAcentral